Molecule: transfer-messenger RNA, 357 nt
Filed under: Pseudomonadales
Lineage: Bacteria; Pseudomonadati; Pseudomonadota; Gammaproteobacteria
Also listed under: 2 other names
Description: UBA2965 sp002348385 Standard tmRNA
Rfam family: transfer-messenger RNA
About the family: Bacterial tmRNA, also known as 10Sa RNA or SsrA, is named for its dual tRNA and mRNA-like properties.
Source: RNAcentral
GGGGGCGACUUGGCUUCGACGGGGGUAACGGAGCUUGCGGUGCAUGCCGAGAGGGUAGUGACUCUCGUUAAUCAAUCGCUGUAACUUUUAUAGUUGCCAACGACGAAAACUACGCACUAGCGGCCUAAAAAACCCGCUUACGUCGAUGAUCUUGGCCUGCAAGGAGAAAUCGACGGCAAAGUUUGCAGGAUCGCGUGGACGCCUCGCCCGGGGCCGAAGCGUUAAAACCAAUCGGGCUCGCUGAGCGCACCCUGACCGUCGGGUCGCGCAAGGCUAAAUUAAUAGACGGACUCUAAGCAUGUAGAGCCAACAGCCGAGUGCCAACGGACGCGGGUUCAACUCCCGCCGCCUCCACCA